This 402-nucleotide ribosomal RNA is filed under the name uncultured bacterium. RNAcentral describes it as "bacterial SSU rRNA". It matches the Rfam family "Bacterial small subunit ribosomal RNA", at positions 47 to 451 of the family's 1533-position model. The record is from RNAcentral.
CCUAACACAUGCAAGUCGAGCGGUAGAGAGAAGCUUGCUUCUCUUGAGAGCGGCGGACGGGUGAGUAAUGCCUAGGAAUCUGCCUGGUAGUGGGGGAUAACGUUCGGAAACGGACGCUAAUGCCGCAUACGUCCUACGGGAGAAAGCAGGGGACCUUCGGGCCUUGCGCUAUCAGAUGAGCCUAGGUCGGAUUAGCUAGUUGGUGAGGUAAUGGCUCACCAAGGCGACGAUCCGUAACUGGUCUGAGAGGAUGAUCAGUCACACUGGAACUGAGACACGGUCCAGACUCCUACGGGAGGCAGCAGUGGGGAAUAUUGGACAAUGGGCGAAAGCCUGAUCCAGCCAUGCCGCGUGUGUGAAGAAGGUCUUCGGAUUGUAAAGCACUUUAAGUUGGGAGGAAGG